CGACUCUCGGCAACGGAUAUCUCGGCUCUCGCAUCGAUGAAGAACGUAGCGAAAUGCGAUACUUGGUGUGAAUUGCAGAAUCCCGUGAACCAUCGAGUCUUUGAACGCAAGUUGCGCCCGAAAUCACUUGGUUGAGGGCACGUCUGCYUGGGCGUCACGC
This 160-nucleotide ribosomal RNA is filed under the name Nothobartsia spicata. RNAcentral's name for it is "5.8S ribosomal RNA". It matches the Rfam family "5.8S ribosomal RNA". Rfam says of the family: 5.8S ribosomal RNA (5.8S rRNA) is a component of the large subunit of the eukaryotic ribosome. The record is from RNAcentral. Lineage: Eukaryota; Viridiplantae; Streptophyta; Magnoliopsida; Lamiales; Orobanchaceae.